AGAACGAACGCUGGCGGCAUGCCUAAUACAUGCAAGUCGAACGAACACUUCGGUGUUAGUGGCGCACGGGUGCGUAACGCGUGGGAAUCUGCCCUUGGGUUCGGAAUAACAGUUGGAAACGACUGCUAAUACCGGAUGAUGACGAAAGUCCAAAGAUUUAUCGCCCAGGGAUGAGCCCGCGUAGGAUUAGCUAGUUGGUGAGGUAAAGGCUCACCAAGGCGACGAUCCUUAGCUGGUCUGAGAGGAUGAUCAGCCACACUGGGACUGAGACACGGCCCAGACUCCUACGGGAGCAGCAGUAGGAAUAUGGACAAUGGGCGCAAGCCUGAUCCAGCAAUGCCGCGUGAGUGAUGAAGGCCUUAAGGGUUGUAAAGUCCUUACUUUUACCCGAGUAUGAAUAAUGAACAGUUA
Molecule: ribosomal RNA, 411 nt
Filed under: uncultured soil bacterium
Lineage: Bacteria
Description: bacterial SSU rRNA
Rfam family: Bacterial small subunit ribosomal RNA
Source: RNAcentral